RNAcentral lists this ribosomal RNA (254 nucleotides) under uncultured bacterium. RNAcentral describes it as "partial 16S ribosomal RNA". It matches the Rfam family "Bacterial small subunit ribosomal RNA", at positions 524 to 776 of the family's 1533-position model. The record is from RNAcentral.
CACGUAGGCACCAAGCGUUAUCCGGAUUUAUUGGGCGUAAAGAGAUCGUAGGCGGUUCGGUAAGUCGGGUGUGAAAACUCUGGGCUCAACCCAGAGAGGCCACCCGAUACUGCUGUGACUAGAGUGCGGUAGGGGAGCGGGGAAUUCCUGGUGUAGCGGUGAAAUGCGCAGAUAUCAGGAGGAACACCAGCGGCGAAGGCGCCGCUCUGGGCCGUAACUGACGCUGAGGAGCGAAAGCAUGGGGAGCGAACAGG